GCCAGACUCCUACGGGAGGCAGCAGUGGGGGAUAUUGCACAAUGGGGGGAACCCUGAUGCAGCGACGCCGCGUGGGUGAAGGAGCGUUUCGGCGCGUAAAGCCCUAUCGGCAGGGAAGAAGGAGGACGGUACCUGACUAAGAAGCCCCGGCUAACUACGUGCCAGCAGCCGCGGUAAUACGUAGGGGGCAAGCGUUAUCCGGAUUUACUGGGUGUAAAGGGGGCGCAGACGGCAGCGCAAGCCAGGAGUGAAAGCCCGGGGCCCAGCCCCGGGACUGCUCUUGGAACUGCGCGGCUGGAGUGCAGGAGGGGCAGGCGGAAUUCCUGGUGUAGCGGUGAAAUGCGUAGAUAUCAGGAGGAACACCGGUGGCGAAGGCGGCCUGCUGGACUGCGACUGACGUUGAGGCCCGAAAGCGUGGGGAGCAAACAGGAUUAGAUACCCGAGUAUA
RNAcentral lists this ribosomal RNA (448 nucleotides) under uncultured bacterium. RNAcentral's name for it is "bacterial SSU rRNA". It matches the Rfam family "Bacterial small subunit ribosomal RNA", at positions 330 to 794 of the family's 1533-position model. The record is from RNAcentral.